UCUGCACCGCCUUUCUGUCCUUAGCUGUGGAGGCUGCGUACCACACACCUAGACAGUAUGUCAGUACGCUCUCCACCAAGGAGUGAUAGAAGGCCAGCAGCAGCUUCGUGUCCAGGUUGUUCUUCCUGAGGACAUGCAGGAAGUAUAGUAUAUAUAUAAU
This is a long non-coding RNA of Thalassophryne amazonica, 160 nucleotides long. RefSeq lists it as uncharacterized. The record is from RefSeq and is a predicted model, not a curated record. Lineage: Eukaryota; Metazoa; Chordata; Actinopteri; Batrachoidiformes; Batrachoididae. The transcript is spliced from 3 exons.